This 793-nucleotide non-coding RNA is filed under the name Alkalithermobacter paradoxus. Its description in RNAcentral is "Clostridium thermoalcaliphilum Bacterial large subunit ribosomal RNA". It matches the Rfam family "Bacterial large subunit ribosomal RNA", at positions 1757 to 2548 of the family's 2925-position model. The record is from Rfam by way of RNAcentral. Lineage: Bacteria; Bacillati; Bacillota; Clostridia; Peptostreptococcales; Tepidibacteraceae.
AGGGUUAACGCCCGAAGUGGCCGCAGAGAAUAGGCCCAAGCGACUGUUUACCAAAAACACAGGUCUCUGCUAAAUCGAAAGAUGAUGUAUAGGGGCUGACGCCUGCCCGGUGCUGGAAGGUUAAGGGGAUGUGUUAGGUUAUCCGAAGCACUGAACUUAAGCCCCAGUAAACGGCGGCCGUAACUAUAACGGUCCUAAGGUAGCGAAAUUCCUUGUCGGGUAAGUUCCGACCCGCACGAAAGGCGUAACGAUUUGGGCACUGUCUCAACAAGGGACUCGGUGAAAUUGUAAUUCCAGUGAAGAUGCUGGAUACCUGCGACAGGACGGAAAGACCCCAUGGAGCUUUACUGUAGCUUGACAUUGGAUUCCGAUGCUACAUGUACAGGAUAGGUGGGAGGCUGAGAAGCCGGGACGCAAGUCUCGGUGGAGCCACCCUUGGGAUACCACCCUUGUAGUAUUGGGAUUCUAACCACAGACCGUGAAUCCGGUCUUGGGACACUGUCAGGUGGGCAGUUUGACUGGGGCGGUCGCCUCCUAAAAAGUAACGGAGGCGCCCAAAGGUUCCCUCAGCACGGUCGGAAAUCGUGCCAAGAGUGUAAAGGCAAAAGGGAGCUUGAUUGCAAGACAUACAGGUCGAGCAAGGACGAAAGUCGGGCUUAGUGAUCCGGUGGUUCCGAGUGGAAGGGCCAUCGCUCAACGGAUAAAAGCUACCCUGGGGAUAACAGGCUGAUCUCCCCCAAGAGUCCACAUCGACGGGGAGGUUUGGCACCUCGAUGUCGGCUCAUCACAUCCU